Molecule: ribosomal RNA, 1515 nt
Filed under: metagenome
Description: bacterial LSU rRNA
Rfam family: Bacterial large subunit ribosomal RNA
Source: RNAcentral
UCGGGGCCUAAGGCCAGGUCGAAAGACGUAACCGAUGGACAACAGGUUGAAAUUCCUGUACCUUAAGUAAACAGAACUGUGGGGACACGUGUGGAGAGCACAAGCCGGAAAUGGAAAAGCCGGUGCAAGCGAGGUAGGAGUACAGUAGGCAAAUCCGCUGUACAAUCCGAAGACGUGAUGCGGACCGAAUUAAGAGUAGGGAAGUGUGUGAGCCAUGCGUCAAGAAAAGCCGCUAUUGUUUUACUUAAGCCCGUACCGUAAACCGACACAGGUGGAUGAGGAGAGAAUCCUAAGGCCGACGGGAGAAGCAUUGUUAAGGAACUCGGCAAAAUGACUCCGUAACUUCGGGAGAAGGAGUGCCAGCGAGAGCUGGCCGCAGAGAAUUGGCCCAAGCAACUGUUUAGCAAACACAGGUCUAUGCAAAACCGUAAGGUGAAGUAUAUGGGCUGACGCCUGCCCAGUGCUGGAAGGUUAAGAGGAGAGGUUAGCGGCAACGCGAAGCUUUGAAUUUAAGCCCCAGUAAACGGCGGCCGUAACCAUAACGGUCCUAAGGUAGCGAAAUUCCUUGUCGGGUAAGUUCCGACCCGCACGAAAGGCGUAAUGAUUUGGGCACUGUCUCAACAAUGCACCCGGUGAAAUUGAAAUACCAGUGAAGAUGCUGGUUACCUGCGCCAGGACGGAAAGACCCCAUGGAGCUUUACUCCAGCUUGAUACUGGGAUUCGGUAUUGCAUGUACAGGAUAGGUGGGAGGCUAGGAAGUGAUAACGCCAGUUGUCACGGAGCCGCUGUUGGGAUACCACCCUUGCAGUAUUGGAUUUCUAACCAGCGACCAUGAGCUGGUCGGGGGACAAUGUUAGGUGGGGAGUUUGACUGGGGCGGUCGCCUCCGAAAGGGUAUCGGAGGCGCUCAAAGGUUCCCUCAGAAUGGACGGAAACCAUUCGAAGAGUGCAAAGGCAGAAGGGAGCUUGACUGCGACACCGACGGGUGGAGCAGGUACGAAAGUAGGACUUAGUGAUCCGGUGGUAUAAAGUGGGAUUGCCAUCGCUCAACGGAUAAAAGCUACCCUGGGAUAACAGGCUUAUCACUCCCAAGAGUUCACAUCGACGGAGUGGUUUGGCACCUCGAUGUCGGCUCAUCGCAUCCUGGGGCUGAAGUAGGUCCCAAGGGUUGGGCUGUUCGCCCAUUAAAGCGGUACGCGAGCUGGGUUCAGAACGUCGUGAGACAGUUCGGUCCCUAUCCGGCGUGGGCGUAGGAUAUUUGAGAGGAGCUGUCCUUAGUACGAGAGGACCGGGAUGGACUGGCCGCUGGUGUAUCUGUUGCAUACCAAAUGCAUGGCAGAGUAGCCAAGCAGGGACGGGAUAAACGCUGAAGGCAUCUAAGCGUGAAGCCCCCCUCAAGAUGAGAUAUCCCUACGUAAGUAGUAAGACCCCUUGAAGACGACGAGGUAGAUAGGUCAGAGGUGGAAGUACAGUAAUGUAUGGAGCUGACUGAUACUAAUCGGUCGAGGGCAUGACC